Molecule: long non-coding RNA, 924 nt
Organism: Canis lupus familiaris (dog)
Lineage: Eukaryota; Metazoa; Chordata; Mammalia; Carnivora; Canidae
Exons: 8
Source: RefSeq, a predicted model, not a curated record
CUUGCUCUGAAAAACACUAAGUGCCAUGUCAUGAGGACACUCAAGCAGUCCUGUGGAAUGGUCCAAAUAGCAAGGAACUGAGGUCUCAUCAUUCAGUAUCCACAUGUACCCAGUGAAGCCUAUGAACUACUGAAGAAUCCAAUUCCACCCUUCUCAAGGUUUUGUACACUUUUCUGCAUGCCAUACUGAGGAUUGUGAGGGACUGGCUGAUUCAGAUGUGCUAAGGGAGGGUAUGAGGACAAAAGACCUGAGGCUGCAGAAUGAAGGACAGAUAAGGGAGAACAAGGCUGCAAGCAUGAAGACCAGUCAAGAGAUCAAAACCUGAAGAAAAGAACAGUUGUUUGUUUUGUUCACCCCUGUAUCCUCAAGGCCUACCAUUGUACCUGGAAAACAGCAUCAGAUUCAUCCCAAAUCCAGUUCCCCUUCCUGUCAUCAGAUGACUGUCAGCAGAAAUGGAGGCAACAUCGCUCUUUGAUUACAUCCAGUGAGACAACCAGAAAAUUUCAGUCCUACAUGGUAGUCUGAAUGAUGAUGUCCAAGACAGACAGAGAUUAACAAGACAGAGAUUAAACUACUGUACAUACACAUUUCUGGUGAUGUAAGUGAGAUUCUAUAACAAACGUAAUGUUUAGAAAAAGGGAUCCAUAACCAAGGGCAAAUGUACAACAUUAAACUAAACAAGGUGACAUAAUCAACGUGUGAUACCCAGAAGCCAAAGGAGAGGAGAAACUUGGCAGUAGAGUGGACUAGGGGGGCUUUCCAGAGGCGGAGAGGUAAACUGACUUUGUAGGAUGGAAAAAUUUCAGAGAUAGGGACACCUGGGUGGCUCAAGCAGCUGAGCAUCUGCCUUUGACUCAGGGCAUGAUCCCAGAGUCUGGGGAUCGAGUCCCACAUUGGGCUCCCAGCAUGGAGCCUGCUUCUCCC